RNAcentral lists this non-coding RNA (98 nucleotides) under Limosilactobacillus equigenerosi. Its description in RNAcentral is "Lactobacillus equigenerosi Guanine sequence". It matches the Rfam family "Purine riboswitch aptamer". Rfam says of the family: Riboswitches are metabolite binding domains within certain messenger RNAs that serve as precision sensors for their corresponding targets. Allosteric rearrangement of mRNA structure is mediated by ligand binding, and this results in modulation of gene expression. RNAcentral also lists the same sequence under 1 other name. Lineage: Bacteria; Bacillati; Bacillota; Bacilli; Lactobacillales; Lactobacillaceae. The record is from RNAcentral.
UUACAUAUUAAUAAUUCCAUUUGUAUAUCGCCAUAUUAUGGUUGGCAGUAUCUACCCAAGACCGUCAUUCUUGGACUACGAAUGCUAAAAAUGAGUGA